Molecule: ribosomal RNA, 389 nt
Filed under: uncultured bacterium
Lineage: Bacteria
Description: bacterial SSU rRNA
Rfam family: Bacterial small subunit ribosomal RNA
Source: RNAcentral
GACGAACGCUGGCGGCGUGCUUAACACAUGCAAGUCGAGCGGUAAGGCCCUUUCGGGGGUACGACGAGCGGCGAACGGGUGAGUAACACGUGGGUGACCUGCCCUCAGCUCUGGGAUAAGCCUGGGAAACCGGGUCUAAUACUGGAUAUGACUCCAUGACGCAUGUUGUGGGGUGGAAAGCCUUGUGCGGCUGAGGAUGGGCCCGCGGCCUAUCAGCUUGUUGGUGGGGGAUGGCCUACCAAGGCGACGACGGGUAGCCGGCCUGAGAGGGCGACCGGCCACACUGGGACUGAGACACGGCCCACGACUCCUACGGGAGGCAGCAGUGGGGAAUCUUGCGCAAUGGGCGAAAGCCUGACGCAGCGACGCCGCGUGAGGGAUGACGGCCU